RNAcentral lists this ribosomal RNA (429 nucleotides) under uncultured bacterium. Its description in RNAcentral is "bacterial SSU rRNA". It matches the Rfam family "Bacterial small subunit ribosomal RNA", at positions 1065 to 1505 of the family's 1533-position model. The record is from RNAcentral.
CCGUGAGGUGUUGGUUAAGUCCCGCAACGAGCGCAACCCUUUCUUCAGUGCCAACGGGUAAUGCCGGAACUCUGAAGAAACUGCCGUCGUAAGACGCGAGGAAGGAGGGGAUGAUGUCAGGUCAUCAUGGCCUUUAUGCCCAGGGCUACACACGUGCUACAAUGGGGAGGACAAAGGGCUGCUACCUGGCAACAGGAUGCUAAUCUCGAAAACCUCUUCUCAGUUCAGAUUGUAGUCUGCAACUCGACUACAUGAAGCUGGAAUCGCUAGUAAUCGCGCAUCAGCAAUGGCGCGGUGAAUACGUUCCCGGACCUUGUACACACCGCCCGUCAAGCCAUGGAAGCCGGGUGUACCUAAAGUCGGUAACCGCAAGGAGCCGCCUAGGGUAAAACUGGUAACUGGGGCUAAGUCGUAACAAGGUAGCCGUAA